CUUCUAACCGUUGCUGCUAGCAACCCUGCAACCAAAAAAGGGCGGAAUUAAAAAAUAUGCGUUUCUGAUUGUACAGCUCGUCCUUUGAAAUAUGCGUUUCUUAAUGUACAGCUCGUCCUUUGCUUUCUUUCCGUAGCAAAAUUUCCUCAUGAAGUCAACGUGUCAACCAGGUGAGAAUAUUGUGGUCGCCGUACCCUUUCCCCUACGCAUUAGCAAGAGAUUUAUGUCAAAAACCUUGUUAGAAGGGAAAGACAUAUCCGUAGGCAAAACGAACGUAGGAGCGCUGACUGUUAACCGUCGUCAUAGACCCACCAGUUACACGCAAUUUUGUAAUGUCGCGUCUCUACUUACCAAGUUUGGGUAGGUGUUCUUUCUACUUGCCGUGUCGCAAUCUGGCCGUGGCAAGUUUGUAAGGAGAGCGCAC
RNAcentral lists this long non-coding RNA (424 nucleotides) under Volvox carteri. RNAcentral's name for it is "long non-coding RNA (VCAR_LNC001703)". Lineage: Eukaryota; Viridiplantae; Chlorophyta; Chlorophyceae; Chlamydomonadales; Volvocaceae. The record is from RNAcentral.